RNAcentral lists this ribosomal RNA (585 nucleotides) under uncultured bacterium. Its description in RNAcentral is "bacterial SSU rRNA". It matches the Rfam family "Bacterial small subunit ribosomal RNA", at positions 338 to 916 of the family's 1533-position model. The record is from RNAcentral.
CCUACGGGAGGCAGCAGUGGGGAAUUUUGGACAAUGGGCGCAAGCCUGAUCCAGCAAUGCCGCGUGAGUGAAGAAGGCCUUCGGGUUGUAAAGCUCUUUUGUCAGGGAAGAAACGGUCUACUCUAAUACAGUGGGCUAAUGACGGUACCUGAAGAAUAAGCACCGGCUAACUACGUGCCAGCAGCCGCGGUAAUACGUAGGGUGCAAGCGUUAAUCGGAAUUACUGGGCGUAAAGCGUGCGCAGGCGGUUAUAUAAGUCAGAUGUGAAAUCCCCGGGCUCAACCUGGGAACUGCAUUUGAGACUGUAUGGCUAGAGUGUGUCAGAGGGGGGUAGAAUUCCACGUGUAGCAGUGAAAUGCGUAGAUAUGUGGAGGAAUACCGAUGGCGAAGGCAGCCCCCUGGGAUAACACUGACGCUCAUGCACGAAAGCGUGGGGAGCAAACAGGAUUAGAUACCCUGGUAGUCCACGCCCUAAACGAUGUCUACUAGUUGUCGGGACUUAAUUGUCUUGGUAACGCAGCUAACGCGUGAAGUAGACCGCCUGGGGAGUACGGUCGCAAGAUUAAAACNCAAAUGAAUUGACGG